Long non-coding RNA from Papilio polytes (common Mormon), 803 nucleotides. RefSeq lists it as uncharacterized. Lineage: Eukaryota; Metazoa; Arthropoda; Insecta; Lepidoptera; Papilionidae. The transcript is spliced from 2 exons. The record is from RefSeq and is a predicted model, not a curated record.
GGCGCGGCUGACAAUUCGACUGCCACGUCAUCGAUAGACUCUAAAGGAGUUUCAUAAGUAAACAAUCGGUUUAUUUGGAAAUUAAAUCAAUAAAAAUGGCGUCGUUACCGAUCGGUGGAGGAGCGCGGUCACUUGUCUCGACCACUUUCUCUCAUGCAUAUUGAGAGCGGCCUGUGCGCCGAUUUUGGCUGCUUUCCCGGCGACGUGUGCGCAGGCGGUAGGCGGCCCGCGCGGCACAGCGCGAGCUGUAACCGCGGCCGGUGUAGGGUCGAGGGCCGAGUAGCGCCGGGUGCCGGGUGCCGGGCGCCGGGAGUGCCCGCGCGGUGCGGUUCACGGGCGCGGCGGCUAACGUGUCGCGUGUCGCGGUUUUAUAUUAAUUAGGUCCUCGCAAAUUAAUUAACCGUAAUUUUAUUCGCUACCUAGUUAUUACAUUAGGAUAUUUCGAAACCGCGCCCACGACAACUACCGUAAUAUAGACACAACAACAUAAUCAUUAAUAAAGCAUCACAAAUACAGCUCAAGCUGGGCUACAAUUCCUGUUUCUGCAAUUGAAUGAAUUAGUUAUUUAUUACGAACAAUAAAACACAAAGUGAUGAGCUCGACGUCGAGGUUGCAUUUGCCUUUAAUUAGAGUUCAACGCGUAUGUCGUCUGCCGACCCUUGCGGCCCGCAGCCCUGGAUCGCCCCGUGCCGGUCACCAGCCCCGGACACCACAAGGCCCAAAUUUAAGUCUCUUUUCGUAUGCUAGGAAUUAAAGGUUUUCAAUCAUUUUAUGUAUUACAAGAAUCUAUACGUACUACUAUU